Molecule: small nuclear RNA, 152 nt
Filed under: Erinaceus europaeus (western European hedgehog)
Lineage: Eukaryota; Metazoa; Chordata; Mammalia; Eulipotyphla; Erinaceidae
Description: U11 spliceosomal RNA (ENSEEUG00000018263.1)
Rfam family: U11 spliceosomal RNA
Source: RNAcentral
AAAAAGGGCUUCUGUCGUGAGUGACACACUUAGGGCAGCUCGUUUGCUCUACGUGCGGAAUCAACAUCAAGAGAUUUCGGAAGCAUUUAGUUAAAAAGAAAAGGGGGAAUUGUCGUAUGCUUUACAUUGACUUGUUCUAGCCCUCCCCCUCC